UACGGGGGGGGGAAGCGUUGUUCGGAAUUACUGGGCGUAAAGGGCUCGUAGGCGGCCAACUAAGUCAGACGUGAAAUCCCUCAGCUUAACUGGGGAACUGCGUCUGAUACUGGAUGGCUUGGAUUCGGGAGAGGAAUGCGGAAUUCCAGGUGUAGCGGUGAAAUGCGUAGAUAUCUGGAGGAACACCGGUGGCGAAGGCGGCAUUCUGGACCGAUAUUGACGCUGAGGAGCGAAAGCUAGGGGAGCAAACGGG
RNAcentral lists this ribosomal RNA (253 nucleotides) under uncultured bacterium. Its description in RNAcentral is "partial 16S ribosomal RNA". It matches the Rfam family "Bacterial small subunit ribosomal RNA", at positions 524 to 776 of the family's 1533-position model. The record is from RNAcentral.